CAGAGAAUAGUUUAUAAAAAUUUUAAUUUUGGAGAUUAAAGAUAGGGGUUUCCUUUCUCUGA
Molecule: transfer RNA, 62 nt
Filed under: Aphodius sp. APH01
Lineage: Eukaryota; Metazoa; Arthropoda; Insecta; Coleoptera; Scarabaeidae
Description: tRNA-Pro
Source: RNAcentral